This 227-nucleotide unclassified non-coding RNA is filed under the name uncultured fungus. Its description in RNAcentral is "sequence contains ITS1, 5.8S rRNA gene, ITS2 and 28S rRNA gene". Lineage: Eukaryota; Fungi. The record is from RNAcentral.
GGAAGGAUCAUUACCGAAUUGUCAAACACGGGUUGUUGCUGGCCCCCGAACGGGGCAUGUGCACGCUCUGUUUACACAUCCACUCACACCUGUGCACCCUCUGUAGUUCUGUGGACCGGGAGACGUCGUCUUCCUUCCGUAGCUCUACGUCUUUACACACACACCGUAGCGAUGUCUCAUGGAAUGUUUUUUCGCGUUUAACGCAAUACAAUACAACUUUCAGCAAC